This 70-nucleotide transfer RNA is filed under the name Chlamydoselachus anguineus (frilled shark). Its description in RNAcentral is "tRNA-Glu". It matches the Rfam family "tRNA". Rfam says of the family: Transfer RNA (tRNA) molecules are approximately 80 nucleotides in length. The record is from RNAcentral. Lineage: Eukaryota; Metazoa; Chordata; Chondrichthyes; Hexanchiformes; Chlamydoselachidae.
AUUCUUGUAGUUGAAUUAACAACAGUAAUUUUUCAAGUUAUUGGCCUUGGUUAAAAUCCAAGUAGGAAUA